CUGGGGAGUACGGCCGCCAGGUUAAAACUCAAUGAAUUGACGGGGGCCCGCACAAGCGGUGGAGCAUGUGGUUUAAUUCGAUGCAACGCGAAGAACCUUACCUGGUCUUGACAUCCACGGAAGUUUUCAGAGAUGAGAAUGUGCCUUCGGGAACCGUGAGACAGGUGCUGCAUGGCUGUCGUCAGCUCGUGUUGUGAAAUGUUGGGUUAAGUCCCGCAACGAGCGCAACCCUUAUCCUUUGUUGCCAGCGGUCCGGCCGGGAACUCAAAGGAGACUGCCAGUGAUAAACUGGAGGAAGGUGGGGAUGACGUCAAGUCAUCAUGGCCCUUACGACCAGGGCUACACACGUGCUACAAUGGCGCAUACAAAGAGAAGCGACCUCGCGAGAGCAAGCGGACCUCAUAAAGUGCGUCGUAGUCCGGAUUGGAGUCUGCAACUCGACUCCAUGAAGUCGGAAUCGCUAGUAAUCGUGGAUCAGAAUGCCACGGUGAAUACGUUCCCGGGCCUUGUACACACCGCCCGUCACACCAUGGGAGUGGGUUGCAAAAGAAGUAGGUAGCUUAAGCUUCGGGAGG
This 575-nucleotide ribosomal RNA is filed under the name Escherichia coli. Its description in RNAcentral is "bacterial SSU rRNA". It matches the Rfam family "Bacterial small subunit ribosomal RNA", at positions 873 to 1449 of the family's 1533-position model. Lineage: Bacteria; Pseudomonadati; Pseudomonadota; Gammaproteobacteria; Enterobacterales; Enterobacteriaceae. The record is from RNAcentral.